Molecule: ribosomal RNA, 121 nt
Organism: Vulpes vulpes (red fox)
Lineage: Eukaryota; Metazoa; Chordata; Mammalia; Carnivora; Canidae
Source: Ensembl
GUCUAGGACCAUACCACUCUGAACACACCAGAUCUCACCCAAUCCCGGAAGCUAAGCAGGGUUAACCUGGUUGGUACUUGGAUGGUAGAAAGCUGACACAGAAAGAGGGUGGCUCCUGCCA